UACGUAGGGUGCGAGCGUUAAUCGGAAUUACUGGGCGUAAAGCGUGCGCAGGCGGUUUGUUGUGUCUGAUGUGAAAGCCCCGGGCUUAACCUGGGAAUGGCAUUUGGGACUGCAAGGCUGGAGUGCGGCAGAGGAGACUGGAAUUCCUGGUGUAGCAGUGAAAUGCGUAGAUAUCAGGAGGAAUACCGAUGGCGAAGGCAGGUCUCUGGGCUGACACUGACGCUCAUGCACGAAAGCGUGGGGAGCAAACAGG
RNAcentral lists this ribosomal RNA (253 nucleotides) under uncultured bacterium. Its description in RNAcentral is "partial 16S ribosomal RNA". It matches the Rfam family "Bacterial small subunit ribosomal RNA", at positions 524 to 776 of the family's 1533-position model. The record is from RNAcentral.